AUGUACUAUUGCUUUAAAAGUGUGCUCGGGGCUAUGUUCUAUCGCUAUUGGAUGAUUUAUAAACUUUUUUUUCACCAACGUAUCCUCUGGGAUAAGAUUCAGAAUUUCUGCAUCUUUGGAAAUGGUAUGAAUGGCAACAUUUAUAAAAUUCUAAGCAUAUGGACAUUUAGUUUAGAUACCAUACUCUUUAUCAUGAGUAGCAGUAGCUUUGGAAGCUUACAAUUAUUUUUGGGCAAAGGAUAUAUUCAGAGAAGUAUGCUUCAGAAAAAUGUCUUAUUUAUGAAGGACAAACUGAUUGAUAUAUGA
RNAcentral lists this ribosomal RNA (306 nucleotides) under Triticum aestivum (bread wheat). RNAcentral's name for it is "partial small subunit ribosomal RNA". Lineage: Eukaryota; Viridiplantae; Streptophyta; Magnoliopsida; Poales; Poaceae. The record is from RNAcentral.